This 492-nucleotide ribosomal RNA is filed under the name uncultured bacterium. Its description in RNAcentral is "partial 16S ribosomal RNA". It matches the Rfam family "Bacterial small subunit ribosomal RNA", at positions 29 to 507 of the family's 1533-position model. The record is from RNAcentral.
AGCGAACGCUGGCGGUAGGCCUAACACAUGCAAGUCGAACGGCAGCACAGUAAGAGCUUGCUCUCACGGGCGUCGAGUGGCGGACGGUUGAGGUAUACAUCGGAAUCUACCUUUUCGUGGGGGCUAACGUAGGGUAACUUACGCUAAUACCGCAUAUGACCUCCGGGUGUAAGCAGGGGAUCUUCGGACCUUGCGCGAUUGUAUGAGCCGAUGUCGGAUUAGCUAGUUGGCGGGGUAGAGGCCCACCUAGGCGACGAUGCGUAGCUGGUCUGACAGGAUGGACAGACACACUGGAACUGAGACACGGUACACACUCCUACAGGAGGCAGCAGUCGGGAAUCUUGCACGAUGCGGGAGAGCCUGAUACAGCCAUACCGCGUGGGUGAAGAAGGCCUUCGGGUUGUAGAGCCCUUUAGUUGGGAGAGAAGAACAGCAGGUUAAUACCCGGCGAUUCUGACAGUACCCAGAGAAUAAGCACCGGCUAACUUCGUG